RNAcentral lists this ribosomal RNA (253 nucleotides) under uncultured bacterium. Its description in RNAcentral is "partial 16S ribosomal RNA". It matches the Rfam family "Bacterial small subunit ribosomal RNA", at positions 524 to 776 of the family's 1533-position model. The record is from RNAcentral.
UACAGAGGGGGCAAGCGUUGUUCGGAAUUACUGGGCGUAAAGGGCGCGUAGGCGGCCUGUUAAGUCGAACGUGAAAUCCCCGGACUCAACCCGGGAACUGCGUCCGAUACUGGCAGGCUUGAAUCCGGGAGAGGGAUGUGGAAUUCCAGGUGUAGCGGUGAAAUGCGUAGAUAUCUGGAGGAACACCGGUGGCGAAGGCGGCAUCCUGGACCGGUAUUGACGCUGAGGCGCGAAAGCCAGGGGAGCAAACGGG